RNAcentral lists this ribosomal RNA (501 nucleotides) under Salmonella enterica. RNAcentral describes it as "partial 23S ribosomal RNA". It matches the Rfam family "Bacterial large subunit ribosomal RNA", at positions 427 to 928 of the family's 2925-position model. The record is from RNAcentral. Lineage: Bacteria; Pseudomonadati; Pseudomonadota; Gammaproteobacteria; Enterobacterales; Enterobacteriaceae.
UCUGAAUAUGUCUGAAUAUGGGGGGACCAUCCUCCAAGGCUAAAUACUCCUGACUGACCGAUAGUGAACCAGUACCGUGAGGGAAAGGCGAAAAGAACCCCGGCGAGGGGAGUGAAAAAGAACCUGAAACCGUGUACGUACAAGCAGUGGGAGCACAGGUUUACCUGUGUGACUGCGUACCUUUUGUAUAAUGGGUCAGCGACUUAUAUUCUGUAGCAAGGUUAACCGUAUAGGGGAGCCGGAGGGAAACCGAGUCUUAACCGGGCGUUAAGUUGCAGGGUAUAGACCCGAAACCCGGUGAUCUAGCCAUGGGCAGGUUGAAGGUUGGGUAACACUAACUGGAGGACCGAACCGACUAAUGUUGAAAAAUUAGCGGAUGACCUGUGGCUGGGGGUGAAAGGCCAAUCAAACCGGGAGAUAGCUGGUUCUCCCCGAAAGCUAUUUAGGUAGCGCCUCGUGAAUUCAUCUCCGGGGGUAGAGCACUGUUUCGGCUAGGGGGCC